UUUUUGGGGUGUAUUGUUCACCGUCAUAGAAAUUGACAGCGACAUGGGAAAGUUACUGGUAGCUCUCAUCCUCGUUCUUUGCGUGGUCGCCAUGGCAACCAUAGUGUCCGCUAGAUGUUACAUCCAUCCACCGUGUUCACAUAGAUUCCACUGCUCGGCGACCCAGUACUGUAAACUCACCAAUGGACAGUUCGGUAUAUGCUGUGACAGAAGGCGGGGCUGAAAAUUGGGAUCACUACCUAUGGAAUAUGGUUGCGUUUCGACAAAUGUUGUUUUCUACCUUUAUUGCGAAUAAACCAUACAACCAAGCA
Magallana angulata is the source of this 311-nucleotide long non-coding RNA. RefSeq lists it as uncharacterized. NCBI's taxonomy places the organism in Eukaryota, Metazoa, Mollusca, Bivalvia, Ostreida, Ostreidae. The transcript has 3 exons. The record is from RefSeq and is a predicted model, not a curated record.